CACCCUUGGUACCGGGAUAGCCCGAGGAAACUCGGAUUAAUACCGGAUGGCCCAACAGUCUUUCGGGACGGUUGGAAAAGGUAGCUUCGGCCUCCGACCAAGGACGGGCCCGCGGCGGAUUAGCUUGUUGGUGGGGUAAUGGCCUACCAAGGCGACGAUCCGUAGCUGGUCUGAGAGGACGAUCAGCCACACUGGGACUGAGACACGGCCCAGACUCCUACGGGAGGCAGCAGUGGGGAAUCUUGCGCAAUGGGCGAAAGCCUGACGCAGCGACGCCGCGUGGGGGAAGAAGGCUUUCGGGUUGUAAACCCCUUUCAGGAAGGACGAAGCCACUCAGGUUAAUAGCCGAGAGGGUGACGGUACUUCCAGAAGAAGCCCCGGCUAACUACGUGCCAGCAGCCGCGGUAAUACGUAGGGGGCAAGCGUUGUCCGGAUUUAUUGGGCGUAAAGAGCGUGUAGGCGGUUUGGUAGGUCCGUUGUGAAAACUCGAGGCUCAACCUCGAGACGCCGGCGGAAACCAUCAGGCUAGAGUCCGGAAGAGGAGAGUGGAAUUCCUGGUGUAGCGGUGAAAUGCGCAGAUAUCAGGAAGAACACCCGUGGCUAAGGCGGCUCUCUAGUACGGUACUGACGCUGAGAC
This 637-nucleotide ribosomal RNA is filed under the name Gaiella occulta. RNAcentral describes it as "bacterial SSU rRNA". It matches the Rfam family "Bacterial small subunit ribosomal RNA", at positions 127 to 752 of the family's 1533-position model. Lineage: Bacteria; Bacillati; Actinomycetota; Thermoleophilia; Gaiellales; Gaiellaceae. The record is from RNAcentral.